This is a long non-coding RNA of Lolium perenne, 1829 nucleotides long. RefSeq lists it as uncharacterized. The record is from RefSeq and is a predicted model, not a curated record. NCBI's taxonomy places the organism in Eukaryota, Viridiplantae, Streptophyta, Magnoliopsida, Poales, Poaceae.
AGAUCUGGGGCUGAUUUAUUGAACGCCGACCUCGCCGUCGGAGACGAACCGAGAGCCGGCAAACCACUAGCUACGAAGACUAUCCUAAGUCUACAGCUAUACAGAUCCGGGCGGAGGAACCAGCGACCCCCCUCCCUCCGACGAGCCAGAGGCCCAUGGGGGAGAGGAGCUGCUGGAUCCGCCGCCGGAACCUUGGUCUCCUCUCGGUUCGCCCUUUUCUGUGGAGAGAAACGAGAGAGAAGGGAAAGUCGUUUUGCGGACACCCUUAUCAAGACACGGACACUUCCCCCUCCCAUCUGCACGCCGCCCGCGGCUCCUCCGGCUACCGCAUCGUCUACCGCAGUUUCCGCCAUGGCAUCUCCCGCCGCGCCCACCAUGGCCCGGACCAUCUCGAGGUCUGCGGCGGCGCGGCGCCACGCUGACCUGCCGAUUCAGCCUGCACGGACGACCAGGGUGGCCUCAACCCUCGCACGCACCGGCCCACGCACUCCCGUAAGCCCUUCCCCUCGCUCGCAUGCCUGCACCCAUGCGACCGGCCACACUUCAACAACGUCGUACUCAUCCCAGCCGGGAACCAGGGAUCAGCUAUCCAUGCCGGAUCACCUCUUCAUUAGGAGUCCUGGACUAGGCAGGAAGGAGACACUGCGAAGGAUUCAGUCCAUCUCGAGGUCCAGCCCGAGCACAACCUUCUCCUCCAGCUAGAUGUGGCAUGAGAUCUCUACGCCGGAGCCAGUACCAUGAUAGUCAUCACGCGCGUGCAGAUUAUCCCAAUCAGAGCAUAUGCAUGAGAGGAUUAGCCAGCUGAUGAGUCCUAUACUCACAGAAACAUCCACCGGGUACACUAAAUUUGAUAGUCCAGUUUCUCUACAUACUUACAUAGUGCUCCAGUUCAUGAUAGAUGUGUAUCUACUGUUUGCAUUAACAUAUUCCCUAUUUGUUAUUAACUGUCUCAUGCAGAUGCUCAAAAUAAAUGCAACUGGGGAACAUGUUCGUCGAUGCCUAUUCUAAGUGGAACAGAGAAGGACAAUAAACCUAUAAGGGUGCUAUCAGCCUUCCCGUUGACCACAAUAUCUAUACUCUAUUGUGCUAGAAGCACUAUUUUGCAGUCUGAUACUAUGCAACACUCUUUGCAGCCUGUCUACAUCUUCACAACUGAACAAAACGAACUCUUCAUUGUCUUCACCGAAACCGCUUUUUAUAUACCUUAUACAAUUGCUCUGCCAAAAAUAAUAACGGGGAUAAUCUGAAGCGUACUGAAUUAAGCAAAUCAUUGGUUCCAAUGGGAAAAAGGCCCAAUAGCAUUUCAUACUUUCAUUCAGGUAACUGAUGUUAGUAGCAUUUGUUUUGAGAGGCAACCUUCGUCAAAUUCAGUUGCCUUUGAAAAUACAUGAUCCAGCAAUUUUGGUAUACAAAACGCUCAGUGUAUGAAGCCUUUUAUCCUAACAAUAAUACAUUAUGGUAUUAUGCUCAAAUCUUAUCGUUUACCUUUGAUUUUGGUUGCUGUUUUCUAUGCCUGUAUUAAAAGUGUUCGAUUAAUCAUGUGCCUUGAUUAAUCAUAUAUAAGAUGUUCAUCGGAUGCCUCUUACAUGUAAUUUGGUGUAUGCUAAUUGUGCAGAGAAGAUCAGCUGUGAACUACCAAUUGCUCAAGCCCAGCCAAUUUGGAGUAUAUGAUAUGAUGCCUUUUAGCCUAUCCAUGCAUGCCCGAGUGCUUCUUUAGGCAUGUAAUAUGUGUCAUAGCUUUCUGCAAAUAACAUGAGGCAUUGUAACUGAGUAUUGACUUGAAUAUCCGAUGCAUUGGUCAGGCUGAUGUAUACAUACUCUUGCACUCA